This 459-nucleotide ribosomal RNA is filed under the name uncultured bacterium. RNAcentral describes it as "partial 16S ribosomal RNA". It matches the Rfam family "Bacterial small subunit ribosomal RNA", at positions 338 to 795 of the family's 1533-position model. The record is from RNAcentral.
CCUACGGGAGGCAGCAGUGAGGAAUAUUGGUCAAUGGCCGGGAGGCUGAACCAGCCAAGUCGCGUGAGGGAAGACGGCCCUACGGGUUGUAAACCUCUUUUGUCAGGGAGCAAGGUGCAGGUCGGGACCUGCUGUGAGAGUACCUGAAGAAAAAGCAUCGGCUAACUCCGUGCCAGCAGCCGCGGGAAUAUGGAGGAUGCGAGCGUUAUCCGGAUUUAUUGGGUUAAAAGGGUGCGCAGGCGGAGGCAAAAGUCAGCGGUAAAAUCGCGGGGCUCAACCCCGCCCCGCCGUUGAAACUGUGUCCCUUGAGUGCGCGAAGGGUAGGCGGAAUUCGUGGUGUAGCGGUGAAAUGCUUAGAUAUGUCGAAGAACCCCGAUUGCGAAGGCAGCUUACUAAACUGUGACUGACAUUGAUGCUCGAAAGUGUGGGUAUCAAACAGGAUUAGAUACCCCAGUAGUC